Molecule: ribosomal RNA, 296 nt
Filed under: Glomus sp. (unid)
Lineage: Eukaryota; Fungi; Glomeromycota; Glomeromycetes; Glomerales; Glomeraceae
Source: RNAcentral
CAGUCGUACUUGCGGGCAAUCAGCCUUUUGGGUGUGAUUAUGUGGGGCGUGAGGAGUUAAUCACCCUCAUCUUUGCAUAUUCGUGCACUUUGGGUGUACUUGCUCGUGUGGUAGGCUAACAUCAAUUUUGGUCAUCAUAAAAUGGCUGGAGGAAUGUAGCUUUCGGUCUCGUAUUUGAAGUGUUAUAGCCUUUGGUAGACGUGAUGGAUUGGGAUUGAGGAUUGCAACGGAUACCCUUCGGGCUACCUGACUGAUCUCUGAAGGUUGCUCCGGUACCGAAAGCGUGCUUACGGUCA